RNAcentral lists this ribosomal RNA (312 nucleotides) under uncultured Gammaproteobacteria bacterium. Its description in RNAcentral is "bacterial SSU rRNA". It matches the Rfam family "Bacterial small subunit ribosomal RNA", at positions 148 to 462 of the family's 1533-position model. The record is from RNAcentral. Lineage: Bacteria; Pseudomonadati; Pseudomonadota; Gammaproteobacteria.
UGCUCGAAAGAGCAGCUAAUACCGCAUACGACCUGAGGGUGAAAGCGGGGGAUCGCAAGACCUCGCGCAAUUGGAGCGGCCGAUAUCAGAUUAGCUAGUUGGCGGGGUAAAAGCCCACCAAGGCGACGAUCUGUAGCUGGUCUGAGAGGACGACCAGCCACACUGGGACUGAGACACGGCCCAGACUCCUACGGGAGGCAGCAGUGGGGAAUUUUGGACAAUGGACGCAAGUCUGAUCCAGCCAUGCCGCGUGCGGGAAGAAGGCCUUCGGGUUGUAAACCGCUUUUGUCAGGGAAGAAACGGCUUUCUCUA